CAGUCGAGCGGUGAUGGGGAGCUUGCUCCUUGGAUCAGUGGCGAACGGGUGAGUAACACGUGAGCAAUCUGCCCUUGACUCUGGGAUAACUGCGGGAAACUGUAGCUAAUACCGGAUAUUACCUUGGAAGGCAUCUUCUGGGGUGGAAAGAAUUUUGGUCAAGGAUGAGCUCGCGGCCUAUCAGCUAGUUGGUGAGGUAAUGGCUCACCAAGGCGACGACGGGUAGCCGGCCUGAGAGGGUGACCGGCCACACUGGGACUGAGACACGGCCCAGACUCCUACGGGAGGCAGCAGUGGGGAAUAUUGCACAAUGGGCGCAAGCCUGAUGCAGCAACGCCGCGUGAGGGACGACGGCCUUCGGGUUGUAAACCUCUUUUAGUAGGGAAGAAGCGACUGGGUUUUCCUGGGAGUGACGGUACCUGCAGAAAAAGCACCGGCUAACUACGUGCCAGCAGCCGCGGUAAUACGUAGGGUGCAAGCGUUGUCCGGAAUUAUUGGGCGUAAAGAGCUCGUAGGCGGUUUGUCGCGUCUGCUGUGAAAACCCGAGGCUCAACCUCGGGCCUGCAGUGGGUACGGGCAGACUAGAGUGCGGUAGGGGAGAUUGGAAUUCCUGGUGUAGCGGUGGAAUGCGCAGAUAUCAGGAGGAACACCAAUGGCGAAGGCAGAUCUCUGGGCCGUAACUGACGCUGAGGAGCGAAGGCAUGGGGAG
Molecule: ribosomal RNA, 709 nt
Filed under: uncultured bacterium
Lineage: Bacteria
Description: bacterial SSU rRNA
Rfam family: Bacterial small subunit ribosomal RNA
Source: RNAcentral